This 428-nucleotide ribosomal RNA is filed under the name uncultured prokaryote. Its description in RNAcentral is "bacterial SSU rRNA". It matches the Rfam family "Bacterial small subunit ribosomal RNA", at positions 355 to 774 of the family's 1533-position model. The record is from RNAcentral.
UGGGGAAUUUUGGACAAUGGGCGCAAGCCUGAUCCAGCCAUGCCGCGUGUGUGAAGAAGGCCUUUUGGUUGUAAAGCACUUUAAGCGAGGAGGAGGCUACUUGGAUUAAUACUCUAGGAUAGUGGACGUUACUCGCAGAAUAAGCACCGGCUAACUCUGUGCCAGCAGCCGCGGUAAUACAGAGGGUGCGAGCGUUAAUCGGAAUUACUGGGCGUAAAGCGUGCGCAGGCGGUUAUAUAAGACAGAUGUGAAAUCCCCGGGCUCAACCUGGGAACUGCAUUUGUGACUGUAUAGCUAGAGUACGGCAGAGGGGGAUGGAAUUCCGCGUGUAGCAGUGAAAUGCGUAGAUAUGCGGAGGAACACCGAUGGCGAAGGCAAUCCCCUGGGCCUGUACUGACGCUCAUGCACGAGAGCGUGGGGAGCAAACA